GGGGUAGAGGAGCGGGCAGGCCAAGAGUACGCUGGCAGAGAAAGGCAUCGAUGAACCAGCGGAAAGGGGCCCUCGCCGAAGCCCAUGAGCUUGGCCAGAAGACAUGGGCUGGGGCUGCGCCGAACAGGUGCAGCACUGUCACGACCGCUGGGUCCCAGGCGGUUGUGGAGCGCUAUC
RNAcentral lists this non-coding RNA (177 nucleotides) under marine sediment metagenome. RNAcentral describes it as "Lysine riboswitch aptamer". It matches the Rfam family "Lysine riboswitch aptamer". Rfam says of the family: Riboswitches are metabolite binding domains within certain messenger RNAs that serve as precision sensors for their corresponding targets. Allosteric rearrangement of mRNA structure is mediated by ligand binding, and this results in modulation of gene expression. This family includes riboswitches that sense lysine in a number of genes involved in lysine metabolism, including lysC. RNAcentral also lists the same sequence under 1 other name. The record is from RNAcentral.